RNAcentral lists this ribosomal RNA (260 nucleotides) under uncultured bacterium. Its description in RNAcentral is "partial 16S ribosomal RNA". It matches the Rfam family "Bacterial small subunit ribosomal RNA", at positions 96 to 354 of the family's 1533-position model. The record is from RNAcentral.
UGGCGGACGGGUGAGUAACGGCGUGGGUAACCUGCCUCAGUACAGGGGGAUAACAGUUGGAAACGACUGUUAAUACCGCAUAAGCACACAGUACCGCAUGGUACGGUGUGAAAAACUCCGGUGGUAUGAGAUGGACCCGCGUCUGAUUAGCCAGUUGGCGGGGUAACGGCCCACCAAAGCGACGAUCAGUAGCCGACCUGAGAGGGUGACCGGCCACAUUGGGACUGAGACACGGCCCAAACUCCUACGGAAGGCAGCAG